Molecule: long non-coding RNA, 1747 nt
Organism: Brachypodium distachyon (stiff brome)
Lineage: Eukaryota; Viridiplantae; Streptophyta; Magnoliopsida; Poales; Poaceae
Exons: 2
Source: RefSeq, a predicted model, not a curated record
UCGGUUCUCGUGCUCCUGUGGAAAGAAGCAAAUCUUAAAAGCCAGCCCAAGGGAGAGCUCACUUUUCUCCCCCCUUGCCUAAACAAACCGAUCAACUCGGGGAGUCGCAGAGAAUCGAAUCAAGCUAGCUGCUAUACUACUAAAAACCUCGUGCGAUCCAUACGCACAAGCAAAAGGCAAGCGACGAUACGAUCUCGCUUGCUCCGGAUAAAGUCGACCGCAAACUUCCGGUGCCAGUCAGUCCGGGGCACUGUGCUUUCUGCAAGAUUCUGCCUAAGCCAAUGCCUUUUUCUCCCUUGGUUAUCUUAGGAGCGUGAUUGAUUCUGCCUUGCCCAAUGGCAGUGCAUGCCACCCGGUAUCUCUCUCUCUUCUCCGUCCCCUUUUUGUUAUCAAAUUACUUAUCUUGCAGAAAGCAGGAGGUGUAAUCUUGGCCUCUUGGGGUUCCCGUGUUCCAUGCAAUAAAGCCGAGAUUUCCGAGAGAGGAGAAGUGUUUUGAUUACGGUAACAAGGUAACAGCACUACACUGUUUCAGCUUUUCUGUGCUGUAAACUGGAUCCUGACAAGUGAAAUGGACUGAGAAAAUGUACUCUUCUCUGAACGAACUCCAUAAAUCUGAGUCCCUUACUCGGACGUGGCGCGCCCGUGGGUAAUUUCGAUGUCUCCUUGAGUUAUGUACUCCCUCGGUCCAACAAACUAUAUCUCAACUUUGACCAAAUUUGAAUGCAUCUAUAUAUUACUCAUGUUUACAUACAUCUAAUUUUUGAUAAACUUGAAAUAUUUUUUUGUUGUACGGAGUCCGGAUGGAGUACUCCUUUUCAUCCGUACAAAAUACAAGGCCUAUGACUUUUGUUGAUGGGAACGUUGCGUGCCGUGCAUGGCGUGGCUGCAUCGGCAUGGCAGAGCACAGGAAAAGAAAGAACGACCCAGCCGAGAUAGAUCCGCCUCGUGACAAGAGCAAGGCAAAUAUUGAGCCCAUGUUGACAUAAACAAGGGAAAGAAUUACUGCAUCUAAAUGCUUAGAUCCUGAGCUUUGAUGACAUGCCUCCGUUCCAGAGGAACACAUACGUACAGGACACUGUCAGCACGGGAGAAUCUUCAUCAAGCCUGUGCAGGCACGGCUGAAGCAUGAUUCGAUCUCAUCUCAUGCAUGUUCAAAGGCACAUCAGAAGAUCCUUCCCUUAUUGAGGCUUUUACGUAAGUCAGUCCGAUUUACUUCUCAGAGAGUGCUUUACUUUUUCUUUCUUUCUUUGUUAUAGGCUGGAGAAACAACAAGCACACGUUGCAUGCAGCUGUGGGCCGGCGAGCAUGCAAACGGAUUCAAGUGGCAUUGAGUUUGCGUGGAGAAUCAGAUGCUCUGGCCAUGAAAAGACUCCAUCUCUUCCCUUUCUUUUGCAUAUUCCAUGUGGCGAGGGGGAAAAAGGCAUGGGGUGGUGAGUUGACAAUUGACUUUGACCGUUUUGACCCAGGUUCAUGAGAUGACAUGCAUGCAUGUAGUCUGAGAAAGUAAAGAGAUUGUGCCAAUGUAGUGGUGUCCAUGACAGAAAGAAAGGCAGCUUGGGUGGAUGCUCUGCUCGGAGCAAAACGUUCACACAAGAAGACAAGCACAAUGCACUCAUUUUUAAACUCUUCUUUUUAAGAUUCAUGGAGUAACAUUGUAGUAUAUAUAUAGCCACCUUUUUCCUGGACAUGUGUCAUGUUAUGCAAGUUCAAGGAUGGCUUGAGCAUAAAUACUCAAGCAAUUGAAUAA